AACGAACGCUGGCGGCAGGCCUAACACAUGCAAGUCGAGCGCGCCCUUCGGGGUGAGCGGCGGACGGGUGAGUAACGCGUGGGAACGUGCCCUUUUCUACGGAAUAGCCUCGGGAAACUGAGAGUAAUACCGUAUACGCCCUUUGGGGGAAAGAUUUAUCGGAAAAGGAUCGGCCCGCGUUGGAUUAGGUAGUUGGUGGGGUAAUGGCCUACCAAGCCGACGAUCCAUAGCUGGUUUGAGAGGAUGAUCAGCCACACUGGGACUGAGACACGGCCCAGACUCCUACGGGAGGCAGCAGUGGGGAAUCUUAGACAAUGGGGGCAACCCUGAUCUAGCCAUGCCGCGUGAGUGAUGAAGGCCUUAGGGUUGUAAAGCUCUUUCAGCUGGGAAGACAAUGACGGUACCAGCAGAAGAAGCCCCGGCUAACUCCGUG
RNAcentral lists this ribosomal RNA (433 nucleotides) under uncultured bacterium. RNAcentral describes it as "partial 16S ribosomal RNA". It matches the Rfam family "Bacterial small subunit ribosomal RNA", at positions 29 to 507 of the family's 1533-position model. The record is from RNAcentral.